Molecule: non-coding RNA, 1026 nt
Organism: Lepisosteus oculatus (spotted gar)
Lineage: Eukaryota; Metazoa; Chordata; Actinopteri; Semionotiformes; Lepisosteidae
Source: RefSeq, a predicted model, not a curated record
UACACCUGAUUUUGAGAUUCAAGAUGUCAAGUCAUGGAAUUACUAAGGCAGGAUUUUGGAAAAGGUUUAUAGCACCAAUGAACAGUUCUGAAUUCUUCUUUUUCUGCUGAUGCUGGUGCAUCUGUGGUUGGAUCUCAGAGGGGACUACCUGCCUUAGUCAAGAAAGACGUGAUCCAGAUAUGUUAUCUGAUGGAGCUCCUGUCCUCCUGGUCCAGACUCCUUCAAAGCCCUGAGGAUAUAGAUGUUACAGACAGCAAUGAUUAUCAAGACACUGAACUGGAUAACUGACAGUAUUACUUCCAUAUAAUCUGCUGGAAUUAUCAUCAAAGAGGUGGAGUAACAGACAGUGAAGACCCAAGCAACAGCUGAGCACACUGCUCUCCACUUGUAGUCUCUGAACUCCAUGAAAGUAAUGGGAUGAAGCACUGCCAAGUACAAAUCCACACAGACACAGUAUCUCUACAUUCUUUGGUGGCUGUUGACAAGAGAAUGGAUCCCAUUAUCGAUGGGCUGGGAAAGGCUGCCACCAGUGGACAGGGGAGGUACAGAAAAGGAAUGUGUUACCAAAAGCAUACACAAUUAUCAAAACAUAGAAGAUUAAAAGAGUCAAGCACAGACUGAUUCAAGGACAUCAGAGAGGAUACUGCUGGAUUCAUGAAGAACUGAAAAAUCAACAAUUCAAUUCAGAAUGAACUUCAUCUGCUUAAUUUAAUUAGUGAGGGUGGUAAGAGCUCUGUACCUGUAACUGGAAGGUUUUUCAUAUCCCACAUGACAAAAUUAAUCAAUGUGGUUAAUACACUGCAGUUACGGCCAAGACUUUAAAAUUGUGUUUUAUUCUAUUGUUAUUUUGUUUCUGUUCACCUGGUGUUGGGUGGGCUGUGUUAUACCUGUUGAAAGGAAUUUAGUGUUUUGAAUAUACCCUCAUGUUACGCAUUUUCAGUUUGCAAAUGUAAGUAACAUUUCCUGUGACUGCUGUUAUUUUUGAUCUGUCAGAAGUGGUUCAUUUAUACUCUGUGACCGUGUUAC